Musa acuminata AAA Group (dessert banana) is the source of this 787-nucleotide long non-coding RNA. RefSeq lists it as uncharacterized. The record is from RefSeq and is a predicted model, not a curated record. NCBI's taxonomy places the organism in Eukaryota, Viridiplantae, Streptophyta, Magnoliopsida, Zingiberales, Musaceae. The transcript is spliced from 3 exons.
UUCUUAGUUCUAUUGGUAUAGACAAAUGAUAUUUGUCUAACAUUCUACAAAAACAUCCUGCUUUGAUCUAUCAUCCCCAUCUGGUUAAUGGAAAGAGAAGGAAUCCAGACUUUCAUUAUCUUUCACAUAUCCAAUCAUUUGUUAAACAUUUUAUUUUCUUACCAUAAACUUAUCUUCUGUACUUUUCUUUAUAGAGCACUAUUGAUGUUCCUUUGGGAUUGCUUGCAUUGGCUACUUGUUGCACAUUUAGUUAUCUCGUUCAUUCCAAGAAGUGGCACCGGAGGUCAAACAAUAAUGGAAGUCUAUGGCAGCGAAGACCUAAGCAAGCAUCUUCUGGUAGGCAAGCUGAAAACUUGAGUUUCGCGUCCAAGGGAACAAGAAUGUCAUUUUGGGGGGCCUCAACUUCAUAUUCUCCGUCACCAAAUGCUGCAGGAAAGGGCUACUCAUUCUCCAAGCGGGUGAAGCAACCGGAUCAAGAUUAUUACUCGACCUACCAUAAUGUGCCAAGAAGAAAGUUCUCCGAGGAAGAAUGGGACAAGUUCACGCGUCAGUCAACGAGCGCCGCCCUAACCGAGUGGGCGUCAACUCCAGAGGUCAUCAAAUGGAUUGGCAAUAAUGCACAUCGGAUGCGGCUUAUCGAAGAAGACCACAACCAGGAUGACACAUCGGAGUCGGAUUCUCCCAAAGAAACUGUCCCAAGAAAUGAGAGUGAACCAAGUUUCUUUACGUGGUUAUGAACUCAUGUGGUCAUAUUAUUUUUUGGUUAUUUAAUUGGCUUCCAUGUCAA